Nelumbo nucifera (sacred lotus) is the source of this 2015-nucleotide non-coding RNA. The record is from RefSeq and is a predicted model, not a curated record. NCBI's taxonomy places the organism in Eukaryota, Viridiplantae, Streptophyta, Magnoliopsida, Proteales, Nelumbonaceae.
AAAAAGUAAAUAAGAACAAACUUUGGAAAUGGUAUAACAUAGAUUAUAUAAUUUAAGAAAAUCUCAUGAUGUUUUAACAGAAAAUAUAAAAUGAGUCUGACAAAAAAAAAGAUUCUUUCAGCUUUUUGUGCAGCCAAAUUUUCAUUUUAUGCCAAAGGUGUAUGAAUUAUUAAAAAAUAAUCCUUACAAGCAAGAAGAGCUACUUAAGUAAAUGUCAAUCUAUAACUUCUUAGAGUUAAAAAACAAGCAGAAAAACAUGAAGUCAACUUGAUGCGAAAUAUCUUUCAGAUUUGAAUUGUUGCCUAAGAUCUAUACUACUUAUAAAAGAGCGAACACCCUCUAUUUCUGGAAUUUUCAUUGGACAUGUUCUGCCCCCCUCUCUAUGCAUAUGUAGAGGGCAUAUAUGUCCUUUACUCUCACUGGAUUAGAAACCGGAAAACAGUGCCCUCUCUCCCACAAACUCAAACUGUUUAUCUCCCACAAACUAUUAUUCCACUUCUGAGUAGCUUCCUUGCAAGCGGUUUCAUCUCCCACUUUUGAGUACCUUUCCUCCAAGCGGUUUCAUCUCCUACAUUCAAAGAGAUCAACGCUUCCACGAUGGUUUAUCUAUGAAUGGUUAUUAUUCUACUUCUGCCAUUCUUAUAAUAAGGAUGGACAAGAAAGUGGAAAAUCAGAGUAUGCAGAGAAACCCAAGACAGCUACCCAAGAGGGGAGCCAGCAACAAGAGGGUGUCGUAGUUGCAGUGAUGUCCGUCGUUGUUAGAGAAGGCCAGUGUUUUUCGAGAUGCCGGCACACCAGCAGCGGCAAGCAUGGAGGUGGAGGUGGAGGCCGAGAAGACACGGUUGAGGUUGGCAAUGAGAACACCAGUGGUUCUGGAAAAUUCAAUGAAGAUGGCGAUGCUGAGAGAGAGCAAAUUUUUCAAGGGUUUUAUCACUAUGUUCAUUUAUUCAAGUUCGUGCCUCCUCUGUUUAUGGGCUUUCGAUUUCUUUUAUGAUUUGUAAUGUUAAAACUUGUAUUCUUUUUUUUUUGAUGAAUUAAAACCUGUAUUCUUUCAAUCCUUCGAAUUUACUAGACUUUUUUUAAUCUCUGUCUAUCGAUUUAUGUAUAUGUCUUGGAUCUGGUUUAUAGCUGGGUUUUCUUCCAUUUUAGUUUUGCUUGUUUCUUCUUUUCCUCUCUUUUUGCUCACAUUAAAGUACGUUUUGUCUGCUUUUCUUUCUUUCUUUUUGAUCAAGUUUACUUUCAAAUGGAGUCUUGGCUUUCUGCCAACACGUGAGUCUCUUCUUUUUCUUUAUGGAUUUCUGGAGGAUACUGGAUCGAUCUUUUCACUCUUAAUAGGUAAUCCAAUCCACUUGUAAAUGUUCGGCCUUUUUUAUUUUCUUUCUGGUUUCCAACAGAUGGGUUUCAUUGCUAAACAUGGAAAAACACUAAUUCAAAUCUUCAUCUUCCUUACAGAUGGUGGUAGCGUGAUGAAAGAGCUGGACAUAAAUCAAAUCCCCUCAGGCACAGAAGAAGUGGGAAGUGCAGAAGAAGAAGAGACCAGCUUGGGUGGUGGUGGUGGUGAAGGCCCUCACCGUAAGAAGCUCCACCUCACAAAAGAACUAUCUCGUCUACUGGGAGAGUUUCGGACAGAACCAGACCUUGAAUCCUAAACAAAAGGAAGCGUUGGCUUUACAGCUGAAGUUGAAACCACAAGAAGUUGAAGCCUGGUUUCAAAACCAUAGGGACAGGUGCAAACAAACUCCGUACCCUAAUUAAUAACGAAUCAGAAUGCAGACUUCAAAAUCGAUGUGGGAUAAACAUCUUCAAUUUAUGGUUAAUUAAUUGUUUGGGAUCUGGAAGGAAAUGAGCAGAAGGAUCUUUGAAGGGAAACAGUGAAUUUUUUCCUGAUGAUAGAGUAGCAGAUUUACCAUACAGAGUGUAAACAUUUGGAAUGCUCAGAUUUUGGUGUUAAUUUUGGCCAACUUUAGACCUUGUAGCUGCAGAUAUUUUAUGUUAUCAAUUUUCCUUUUGUGUUA